RNAcentral lists this transfer RNA (73 nucleotides) under Actinomycetaceae bacterium. Its description in RNAcentral is "tRNA-Lys". It matches the Rfam family "tRNA". From Rfam's summary of the family: Transfer RNA (tRNA) molecules are approximately 80 nucleotides in length. Their secondary structure includes four short double-helical elements and three loops (D, anti-codon, and T loops). The record is from RNAcentral. Lineage: Bacteria; Bacillati; Actinomycetota; Actinomycetes; Actinomycetales; Actinomycetaceae.
GGGCCUCUAGCUCAAUUGGUAGAGCUCCGGACUUUUAAUCCGUAGGUUGUGGGUUCGAGUCCCACGGGGCCUA